UACGUAGGUGACGAGCGUUAUCCGGAAUUAUUGGGCGUAAAGCGCACGCAAGCGGUUCUACAAGUCUGACGUGAAAUCUCCUGGCUUAACUGGGAGCGGUCGUUGGAAACUGUAGAGCUUGAGGCGAUGAGAGGGGUGCAGAAUUCCCGGUGUAGUGGUGGAAUGCGUAGAUAUCAGGAGGAACACCGGUGGCGAAGGCGGCUUGCUGGGCCAGUUCUGACGCUGAGGAGCGAAAGCGUGGGGAGCGAACAGG
This 253-nucleotide ribosomal RNA is filed under the name uncultured bacterium. Its description in RNAcentral is "partial 16S ribosomal RNA". It matches the Rfam family "Bacterial small subunit ribosomal RNA", at positions 524 to 776 of the family's 1533-position model. The record is from RNAcentral.